GGUCAAGCUACAACGGGCGCGCGGUGGAUGCCUCGGUGCCAGGGGCCGAUGAAGGACGCGGCAAGCCUGCGAUAAGCCCCGCCUAGCUGGCAAGCAAGCUCAAGCGGGGAUCUCCGAAUGGGGAAACCCGGCCCGGCAAAACCGGGUCACCCCGGGCCGAACACAGUAGGCCCGGUGGAGGGAACCGGGGGAACUGAAACAUCUUAGUACCCCGAGGAAAAGAAACCAUUCCCUCAGUAGCGGCGAGCGAACGGGGAAGAGCCCAAACCCGGCCGCAUGCGGCCGGGGGUUGGAGGGCCUGCCUGGCCGAAAAGGCAGGGAGUUACCAAUCGCGCACCUAGGGGAACGGUCCUGGAACGGCCGGCCACAGAGGGUGAGAGCCCCGUACUCGAAAGGUGGCGCGACUCCCGGCAGGUUCCUGAGUACCACGGGACACGUGGAACCCCGUGGGAAGCUGGGGAGACCACUUCCCAAGGCUAAAUACCCCUGGCGACCGAUAGUGGACCAGUACCGUGAGGGAAAGGUGAAAAGCACCCCGGGAGGGGAGUGAAAGAGAUCCUGAAACCGCGUGCCUACGUGCAGUCGGAGCCCGCUACGGCGGGUGACGGCGUGCCUAUUGAAGAAUGAGCCGGUGAGUUACUCUGCGUGGCGAGGUUAAGCGAGGAAACUCGCGGAGCCGUAGCGAAAGCGAGUCCGAACAGGGCGCUGAGUCGCGCGGAGUAGACGCGAAACCUGGUGAUCUACCCAUGGGCAGCGUGAAAUCCAGGUAAAACUGGAUGGAGGCGCGAACCCGUCAGCGUUGCAAAGCUGUGGGAUGACCUGUGGGUAGGGGUGAAAUGCCAAGCGAACCAGGAGAUAGCUCGUUCUCCCCGAAAUGCAUUGAGGUGCAGCGUCGGGCGUUCUCCGGCGGAGGUAGGGCUCUGGAUGGGCUAGGGGGCUCACCGCUUACCGAACCCAACCAAACCGCGAAUGCCGUCGGACGAAGCCCGGCAGUGAGACGGUGGGGGAUAAGCUCCAUCGUCGAGAGGGAAACAGCCCAGACCACCAGCUAAGGCCCCCAAGUCCAUGCUCAGUGUGAAAGGAUGUGGGACCGCCCAGACAGCCAGGAGGUUGGCUUAGAAGCAGCCAUCCUUUAAAGAGUGCGUAAUAGCUCACUGGUCGAGUGGUCCUGCGCCGACAAUGUAACGGGGCUAAGCAUGGCGCCGAAGCUGUGGGUCGCCCGCCACGGGCGGGCGGCGGUAGGGGAGCGUCUGCUUCGGCUGUGAAGCGGGUGGCGCGAGCCCCCGUGGAGCGAAGCGGAGUGAGAAUGCCGGCAUGAGUAGCGCAAGGAGCGUGAGAACCGCUCCCCCCGGAAACCUAAGGUUUCCUACGGAAGGUCAAUCCGCGUAGGGUUAGUCGGGCCUAAGCCGAGGCCGAAAGGCGUAGGCGAUGGACAGCUGGUUAGUAUUCCAGCACCGCCCUGAGUGGGCCUGAUGCAGAGGGGGGACCCGGAAGGGUAGGCUCCGCGGGCCCACUGGACAUGGUUCGUUCCUGGCCUGUAGGCGUCUGGGCCGAGGCAAAUCCCGGCCCAGGUCAAGCUGAGGGGUUGGGAGGAGUGGAGACUUCGGUCAAAGCAACGGAGCUGAGCCCACGCCGGCGAGAAAAGCCUCGCUGCUACUGCUCAGGGCGCCCGUACCGCAAACCGACACCGGUAGGUGGCGGUAAGCACCGCAAGGGGAUCGGGAGAACCCUCGUUAAGGAACUCGGCAAAUUGGGUCCGUAACUUCGGGAGAAGGACCGCCUCCCGCUGUGAACCGGCUCGCCCGGGGAGCAGCAGGAGGCCGCAGUGAGCAGGCCCGGGCGACUGUUUACCAAAACCACAGGUCUCUGCGAAAGCGAAAGCUGACGUAUAGGGGCUGACGCCUGCCCAGUGCCGGAAGGUUAAGGGGAGGGGUGCAAGCCCCAAACCGAAGCCCCGGUGAACGGCGGCCGUAACUAUAACGGUCCUAAGGUAGCGAAAUUCCUUGUCGGGUAAGUUCCGACCCGCACGAAAGGCGUAACGACCUGGGCACUGUCUCGACGAGGGACCCGGCGAAAUUGAAUUGACCGUGAAGAUGCGGUUGACCCGCGGCAGGACAAGAAGACCCCGUGGAGCUUUACUGCAGCUUGGCGCUGGGAGUGGGCCUGGGAUGCGUAGGAUAGGUGGGAGGCUGUGAAGCCGGGCUUCCGGGCUCGGUGGAGCCGCCCUUGAAAUACCACCCUUCCCUGGUCUGCUUUCUAACUCGUGACCAAGCACGAGGACAGCGUCUGGCGGGCAGUUUGACUGGGGCGGUCGCCUCCUAAAGCGUAACGGAGGCGCACAAAGGUCCCCUCAGGCUGGAUGGAAAUCAGCCGUCGAGUGCAUUGGCAUAAGGGGGCUUGACUGCGAGACCUACAAGUCGAGCAGGGGCGAAAGCCGGUCAAAGUGAUCCUACGGUACCGUGUGGAAGGGCCGUGGCUUAACGGAUAUAAGCUACCCCGGGGAUAACAGGCUGAUCUUGCCCAAGCGUCCACAGCGACGGCAAGGUUUGGCACCUCGAUGUCGGCUCGUCGCAUCCUGGGGGUGAAGUCGCUCCCAAGGGUUGGGCUGUUCGCCCAUUAAAGCGGUACGCGAGCUGGGUUCAGAACGUCGUGAGACAGUUCGGUCUCUAUCCGCCGCGGGCGUAGGAGGCUUGAGGGGUGCUGCCCCUAGUACGAGAGGACCGGGGUGGACGGACCUCUGGUGUGCCAGUUGUCCCGCCAGGGGCACCGCUGGGUAGCCAUGUCCGGACCGGAUAAGCGCUGAAAGCAUCUAAGCGCGAAGCCGACCCCAAGAUGAGGCCUCCCACCGGGCUAACCGGGUAAGACCACAGGAAGACCACCUGUUCGAUAGGCGCCAGGUGUACGCGCAGCAAUGCGCUCAGCUGAGGCGUACUAAUGGUCGAGGGCUUGACCUG
RNAcentral lists this ribosomal RNA (2954 nucleotides) under Chloroflexota bacterium. RNAcentral's name for it is "Chloroflexi bacterium (sediment metagenome) 23S ribosomal RNA". It matches the Rfam family "Bacterial large subunit ribosomal RNA". The record is from RNAcentral. Lineage: Bacteria; Bacillati; Chloroflexota.